RNAcentral lists this ribosomal RNA (466 nucleotides) under uncultured bacterium. RNAcentral's name for it is "bacterial SSU rRNA". It matches the Rfam family "Bacterial small subunit ribosomal RNA", at positions 29 to 524 of the family's 1533-position model. The record is from RNAcentral.
AACGAACGCUGGCGGCAUGCCUAACACAUGCAAGUCGAACGAAGCCUUCGGGCUUAGUGGCGCACGGGUGCGUAACGCGUGGGAAUCUGCCCUUGGGUUCGGAAUAACAGUUAGAAAUGACUGCUAAUACCGAAUGAUGUCUUCGGACCAAAGAUUUAUCGCCCAAGGAUGAGCCCGCGUCGGAUUAGCUAGUUGGUGAGGUAAAGGCUCACCAAGGCGACGAUCCGUAGCUGGUCUGAGAGGAUGAUCAGCCACACUGGGACUGAGACACGGCCCAGACUCCUACGGGAGGCAGCAGUAAGGAAUAUUGCGCAAUGGACGAAAGUCUGACGCAGCGACGCCGCGUGGGGGGAUGAAGGUCUUCGGAUUGUAAACCCCUUUCGGGAGGGAAGAUGGAGUGGGUAACCACUUGGACGGUACCUCCAGAAGCAGCCACGGCUAACUUCGUGCCAGCAGCCGCGGUAAU